CAAUCGAACCCGGAGAUAGCUGGUUCUCCCCGAAAUAGCUUUAGGGCUAGCGUCGCAGCGAGAGAGCCGUGAAGGUAGAGCACUGAAUAUGCGAUGGCCGCAUCCCGCGGUACUGAGCAUAAUCAAACUCCGAAUGUCACGGUGUCAUCUGCGGCAGUCAGACGGCGAGUGAUAAGGUCCGUCGUCAAGAGGGAAACAGCCCAGACCAUCAGCUAAGGUCCCAAAGUGCAUGCUAAGUGGAAAAGGAAGUGGAGACGUGCAGACAACUAGGAGGUUGGCUCAGAAGCAGCCAUCCUUCAAAGAGUGCGUAACAGCUCACUAGUCGAAUGACUCUGCGCCGAUAAUUUACCGGGGCUAAGCAUGACACCGAAGCUAUGGACAGGAAUGUGGUAGGGGAGCAUUGCAUGCAGCGGAGAAGCAUGACCGAGAGGGCAUGUGGAGCGCAUGGAAGAGAGAAUGCCGGCGUGAGUAGCGGCACGUGGGUGAGAAUCCCACGCACCGAUGGCCCAAGGUCUCCAGAGGAAGGCUCGUCCUCUCUGGGAUAGUCGGGACCUAAGGCGAGGCCGAAAGGCGUAGCCGAUGGACGACGGGUGGAUAUUCCCGUACCCGAUGUGUGGCGAUGGAGUGACGGAGAAGGCUCAGGCAACCAGCUGCUGGAAUAGCUGGGGCAAGCGAGAUACCUGCGCACCAGGGAAAUCCGGUGCGCGCAGGGGGAAGGCGCGAAGCAUACGGAAAGCUGCGGCAAGUACGGAAAAGCUGAGAGCAGGCUUCCAGGAAAAGCUUCUAGCACAACACACAUCGGCCCGUACCGAAAAUGGACACACAUGGGCAAGGAGAGAAUCCUGAGGUGAGCGAGAGAACUAUAGCUAAGGAACUCUGCAAAAUGACCCCGUAACUUAGGGAGAAGGGGUGCUCCAGAAAUGGAGCCGCAGUAAAACGGCCCAAGCGACUGUUUACCAAAAACACAGCUCUCUGCGAAGGCGCAAGCCGAAGUAUAGGGGGUGACGCCUGCCCGGUGCUGGAAGGUCAAGGGGAGCUGUCAGCGCAAGCGAAGCAGCGAGCCGAAGCCCCAGUAAACGGCGGCCGUAACUAUAACGGUCCUAAGGUAGCGAAAUUCCUUGUCGGGCAAGUUCCGACCUGCACGAAUGGUGUAACCAUGGCCACGCUGUCUCCACCCGGGACCCAGUGAAACCGAAAUCGCUGUGAAGAUGCAGUGUACCCGCGGCUAGACGGAAAGACCCCGUGAACCUUUACUGCAGCUUGACACUGAACCUUGAACCUGUUUGUGCAGGAUAGGCGGGAGACUUUGAAGUAGAGACGCCAGUCUUUAUGGAGUCGACCUUGAAAUACCGCCCUGAUAUGUUUGAGGUUCUAACUUGAAGGUAACAGCCUUAAGGACAGUGUCUGGUGGGAAGUUUGACUGGGGCGGUCUCCUCCCAAAGAGUAACGGAGGAGCACGAAGGUCGGCUGAUCACGGUCGGAAACCGUGAGGUCAGUGCAAUGGCAAAAGCCGGCUUGACUGCGAGAGCAACAACUCGAGCAGGUGCGAAAGCAGGUCAUAGUGAUCCGGUGGUUCCAUAUGGACGGGCCAUCGCUCAACGGAUAAAAGGUACUCUGGGGAUAACAGGCUGAUACCGCCCAAGAGUUCAUAUCGACGGCGGUGUUUGGCACCUCGAUGUCGGCUCAUC
Molecule: ribosomal RNA, 1688 nt
Filed under: human gut metagenome
Description: bacterial LSU rRNA
Rfam family: Bacterial large subunit ribosomal RNA
Source: RNAcentral